GUUUUAACAGGUAUGCUACACAACUUUGCACUCUGCAUUACGAUCUAUGCUUGAACUUUGACCGUGAAACAUGCAUCAACUUAAUACUACCUAAUAUAUGUAACUUUGGAUUUUUUUUUUUUUCAGGUUGAGGUGCACCAUGUUGUCUGCAAUAUGCUGUUUUACGUAUUGCAUUUUUCACCAUAAGUAGGAUUGUCUCCCAUCCCUAUCAGCACCCAUCUCCACCCUCUAGCAUGUACAACAAUGUUCGUAUUUGGAAAUUUCUGUAAAAUUAACUUAUGAUGAUUGCAGAAACUUUUUUGCAACAUCGCAUAAUUUUAAUCUAUACAUCGCAUAAUUUUAAACUUUUUUGCAACUUACUUGAAGCAAAUGCAAGAGGAUAACCAACCAGAUGUCCCAGUCCCAAUAUUAGAGUUUUGUUAACCAUCAUAAGCGAUCCAAAUGUCGAUAUUUCACUGUAUAAGUAAUAUCUUGAGUUAAUCGCAUCAGCAAAAGCCAGAGUGAUGAUACAAAUGACAGGCACGAGAAUUGCUGAUGAUCCAAAUGCGAGUAGCACCAACCAAACACUUGCUAAAGCAAAAGCUUGUGAAGGAUCUUCCUGCCCUAAACACAAGUCAAAUCAAAACCUCAACCAAGUAAAAGGAAGUUUCCAUGAACCAGAAAAUAGAGAGGGAAAAGGACACAGGCUAACAAGAAUUUACCUCAGCAUCUGCAUAGGUUGAUUGUCGCCUGAGGCUACAUCGAGGAUACUUAACAACAGAUUUUGAACCAUACAGCCGCAACUUCAACUGUUAUAGAAAAUACAAACGUUAAGCAAAAGAUAGUGAAAAUGGACAUGAAGGAAAGACAGCCACUUGAUUAUACCUCAAUUUUAUCAAACAUCGCAUCAACAAUCAAAGGUUUACCAUUGUAAUAUGAAUCUCGUGCCUACAACAUAAAAGCAAGAUGAACAAGUAGAUGAAUUUACACAUCCAAACUUCCUAAUUCUGAGGAGAACUUCCAAAGAUCAUAAAUAAUGGACAUAACCAUAAAUAACGCUUUGCCCAAUGUUUCAUUUCUUUCGAUCAAAAUAAAAACAGAGCUCCAGAUUAUGACUUAAAGUGACUGCAACAAGAAAAAGUAGUUCAAUUCAUCUCAUAGGCAAAUUAAUUGAAUUUCAUGCUUCCUGGUACAAAAGAAAAGCCAAAGAAAAUCAUAAAACUAAAGUUCAUCUACUUGCAGAAACCUAUCAAUUAAUGAACUCCAACUAAAAAUGGAUGACAAAAAUAAUUAGCAAAAGAAUGAUGAUAUGACCAAACUUACUUAAAUGUAUUAUGAGGCAGAAAAUUAUCGAACCAUUUUGGAGGAUGAAGGUAAUUAGAAGCUUUAUGUGGUUUAUUCCAAAAACAAUGAAGCUCAUGUUGCAAAUUACUGAUCUCCCUGAUCUGUAGAGCUGAAUCUGAAUCCUAUAUAGACUUCAAGAUUUAUAGUACUGCAUGUUAGUAAAUUUUGCAAACACAUUUAAAGAAAAGGGAGUUCCAAAUAUGCACAUCAGUUCUUGUUCUUCUUUAUUUAACAUCUAGCACGUUUGAAGAUUGCAGAAUCUCUUCAUUGUUAUCCUCGAAUAGUCCAGUGUGUUAUUUGCCUCUUGCAGGAUGGACAUCACAACAAGAAUGCUUUUACCUGCUGAUAGAGGGCCUCCAGCAUCUCCUUACUGGCGGUCUCGAUAGGGCCGACGUAGAGGCAGGAGGGGGCAUCCGCCGCGACCGCGAGUACCGGGGAGAACGACCUUCGGCCGCCGCCGCGCGGCCGCGGCCGGAGCCGGUCGUGCGCGGAAAGGGGGCGGGCGCGGAGGACGUGGAAGGCGGGGACGGCUGCCGCUGCGGAGGAGGAGGACGAGGAGGAGGACAGGGGCAUGAGGCCCGCUGGCGCCUCCGCGCGUGGAGGCAGCGGGCAGCGCGGUGUAAUCGCGGCCGCAGACGCUGCGUUGUGGCCACCAUUUAAGAAGCCACGUCUCUCGACGCACCACCACAAGACGAUCGCAAGCGUGAGUGGAUGUGUGUCUCUCAUUGGAUAUUUCUCUUUCAGCUUUGCGCGGCCAAUCAUCGAAUAUAUAAAUAUACAUAUAAUAAUAUCUGUUAGUUUUGUCCAAAAUAAUAUGUCCAAUUAAUCUGUGAAAAUGAUCUUAUUUUGGUCUCCCAUAAAAUAUAUAAAAGAUGAAAUUAAAAAAUUACCCCACACAAAGAAAUUAUAAUAACCUUUUUUUUUUUUACUUUACUCAAGACAUUAGGAAAACAUACAAAGUGGAUUAUCCGCUUUGCAUCGAAAUUAUUAACUCAUCCAUAAUUUCUUAUCUCAAACGAAACAAAAAUAAUAUUUUGUUUAAAGAUUCAUUUAAUAAAAUCUCACUAAUAUUUUAAAUUUUGAUUCUAUAUUAAAUUAGAUUACAGUUAAUUAUGUCAAAUCUUAUGAACACGAAUCGAGUCAAAUUCAAUGCAUGUAUCAUUAAAGCUAUUGGAAUUUAUACACCGAAAACAUGAGCGAUAUCAAGAGCAUCUAUGAAGAACAGAUGAUACUGAAAGAGAACUUGCAAGAUACAAGAUUACGCCUUUGUGUUCUUUCUAUCCCCUAAGUAGGAAGCGAGGAAGCCGAUGGCCUUGGAUGAGCAAUCUUUCUAUUCCCUACAUCUUCCCAGCUUCUCCAACGAGGCAUGGCGGGCCGUUGGCCACUUGAGUUCUGUUCGGUCUUGGGGUUUCUCUCGGCAUCCUUGCCAUGCUGAAGCUGCUCCAAUGCCACUACCACUUGAUCCAUGGUUGGCCUGUGCUUUGUUUCCAAGGACAGGCACCUGUCUGCGAGACCGGCUAUUUUCUGGGCUCCUGCCAGUGAGUACUGUGCUCUCAAUCUGGAAUCCAGGAUGCUGAUGAUCUUCCUCUUGCUCGCAAGAUGAGGCUUCGCCCACUCCACCAAUUUGUACUCUCCGGUGGGGCGGUUCUUGUCGAUGGCACGUCGGCCAGUCAAUAUCUCGAGAAGAACAACUCCAAAGCUAUAGACAUCACUCUUGGCAGUCAAAUGUCCUUUGAAAGUUUAUGAUGCAAAUCAACAAGUCAGCACAUGUCUCAAGCAUCACUUUCAUUAAGAAUGUAUGCUCACCAAACCUACCUUCUCCAUGUAAUGUGUAGAAGAUUACAAUCUAUAAAGAUGAGAGAGAAAUAGUUUACCCAAAGUUACACGUAAUGACUACUCGGAGGCACCCUUAAAUAAUAUCUUUAUUUCCUCAUUGACUUGACUAAUAUUUAGCUUAAAUAACUCCAAGGCUCUAAUCUCAUGUAAAUCACCGAUAUAGUAGUAAUCGGAAUGGCAAAUAAAGGAUGAAACAAGAUGCCUAAUCACUAUAUAAGCUACAAGGCCGGCCAUCUCCAACAUUACUUGUUGAUAUUUCACACAAACCAAGUAGUAAGCAAAGUAUUGUUUGAGAUGAUAUGUGCUAUUGCUUUUGUGGCAAUAGUUUUAACCAUCACCUUAUGUGCAGAUUGCAUAAUUGAUCCUAUUUAAAAGUGAAGCAUUCUAAAUAGAUAUACUAAAAGCCAUGAGAGGCCGAGUUGGAUCAAGAUAAACUAAUGGUAAGUAAAAUGAUAAACGAUAUAAUUAGUUUAAUAGACACCUGACCAACUCAUGUGUUCAUGAGGAAAUUGCAAAUUUUAUGUGACUUAAAUGACUAAACAGAUGAGGGGUUUUUGUGAAUUACAAAUCAGAUGACAAGCAAAAGUAUUCCAGGCUGUGAAGAAGACACAUUCAGCAUUUGCAAUAAUAAAGAUGCAACAAAAUUACCUGUUGCAAGAUACUCAGGAGCAGCAUAUCCAUAUGUCCCCAUGACCCUUGUAGAAACAUGGCUUUUAUCACCGGUAGGACCAUCUUUCGCCAAUCCAAAAUCAGAAAGCUUUGCAUUAUAAUUCUGUACAUAAAUCGGAAACAUCAAUUCUGAAAGUUGAAUGAACGUCCAUUUCAAUGUUGAAAACCUAGAUGACUACAUACUGAAUCAAGAAGCACAUUGGAGGUUUUGAAAUCACGAUAAAUGACUUUCGCCUUGCUGCUAUGCAGAAAAGCAAGUCCUUUUGCAGCUCCCAGAGCAACCUUCAUGCGGAGGUUCCAGGAGAGUGGCUGAUAGUAUGAACUCCCUGCAUCACCAUAAGAGCAUACAAACUGAGAUUCAUACAGAUUGAAGUAGAGUAACAGCAAACAGUAGCAAUCUCUUAGAAAACAAUUCCUUCAAGUAAAACGUGAAGAACACAUCCGGUAUAAUAUCAGAUACAGUCCAUGAAGAACAUACUCCUGAAGAGAUGAUUCUCCAAGCUUCCCCGAGACAUGAAUUCAUACACAAGAAGUCUUUGUUCAUCCUCCAAGCAGUACCCAAUAAGCUUUACAAGGUUAGGAUGAGACAGCUGACUCAAGUAAUUAACCUCCGCCUACAAGAUUUAAAGAAGAUGCUAUUGAGACUACAUGUAUCUGGUAAGCUACAGAAUAGAAUUUGAAAUCUAAGUUACCAGCUCGAUAUACAUAUCAUUCAUACAUGAGGUGGAUCUCAACACUAAGAAAUCAGAGAACAAAAGAGAGCAAAGAUUUUGCAGGAAUCAAUACUCACCAACCAUUCUUUGUGACCCUGGAAACCUUCCUGGUUGAGUUUCUUCACAGCGAUAACCAUUCCAGUCCCAGGCUUAGCUGCUGCCAACGUGUGCUCAUUGAUCCAUCCCUUGAAGACUGAACCAAAGCCUCCCUCUCCCAACACACUGUCUGGCCGGAAAUUCCUGGUGGCAGUUCUGAGUUCAUUGAAGGUGAAGCUCUUCAGAUUGGAUGACGUCAAGAUCUCACCCUCACUCCGUGGAGUCGGCGGCACGGAGGACGCAGACACCCUGCUGCUGGAACUGCUUAAAACGUUUCCCUUCCUGCUCCCAUGUGGAGAGUCCUCUCCUAGGCAUUCAAAUACAGUGUCUACUAGUAAAUCAGACUCAAAAGAAAAAGCCACAGACAAUGCUUUCAUCGUAAACUCUUGCAUUAGCCAAUCAAUUGAAUCAAGUAAUACAACUUAGCACAAUUCAUCACCUUACUUAACAUUGUGGAACAAAAAAUACGAGCGGCAUACUUUACCAGAUAAAUUAGCAAAAUUGAGCCUAUGUUUGAAAGGAAUAACUGCUAAUAGGCAAUUUCCACAAAAGAAGACUUACACGGGAAUAAUUCCAAGAGAAACACAAAAUUCACUCUUCCAACACUAUAUAUAUGUGUGUAUAUAUAAGGCAGUAAAACAACUCUUAUUGAGUUGAUCGAUAUGCCGAUCCAUCAAAUCGAUACCUCUUCCUACCCCUCCAAUGACAAACUGAAAUGUUGUUUGCCCUAAAUUAUUUCCAAAAUUAGAAAUUUAAUGAUCUCUAAGAACAGAUUCAGAACAACUUACUCCCUUCAGGGAUGACAAGGUGGGAUCUCUGAUGUGGUAAUAGGAAAUUGUGAUAUGUCACUGCCGUGUUAACAUGACAUCAGAUAAAUGCCCCAUAUUACUGGUCCACAUUAAUUAAUGGAUGACAUACCUGCAUCUGCAUGUCUCCUUGGUGCCAGGAUCAUUCAUCGUGCCACUACUCAUCACCUGCGCGGUAGCACAUCUGACACCUCUUCUUAGAAGGUUUAACACUAGGCAUUAAUGGACGACGGAAAGGGGUCAGGUAGGCUCCUCCGUCCGCCUCCGAACGACGACCAAAAGUGAUUCAUCGACAAGAGAACGGUGGAUUCCCUAAUCUACCAUACUAUCAUUAGUAAUCCCUCAGAGAAGACAGUUAAAUAUUGCAACUUUUUUCACUUAAUCCACUAAAAAACCAUUCAAUUUCUAUGGAAAACGUCCCAAGGUUAUAAGCUAUGAUCGAACUCAGAAGCUGCAUAAAACAAGAUGGAACCUUUAGUACCUGAAGCGAAGACGUCGUGGGAGGGGUUCUCCGCCUUGACCUUAGCGCCCCAGCAAUUACCCAUCGGAGAACAACCCAAGCGUGACGACAGCCACGGCCUUCAAUCUACUGGCAACCCCCGAAAGAUAGGGUUCUCCGCGGCCAAAUCUGUGAGGCAAGAACCACCGGAUCCGGCAAGGAAGCAGCCUUUUGGCGCAGUAAUGCAGCAGGAAGCCGAGGUUAACAGCGAUUCGGCUUGCUCACCAAGAGCGGAUCUCCAGUUGCGGAGCUCCAAAUGAAAGCUGGGAUUCAGCGGCGAAGAGGAGCGAGCUUGAAUCGAGUGACGAGUGGAGAGGGCGCAUAAAAAGAAGAGAGAAAGAGGAAGAGAGAGAGUGAUAGGUGCUUCUUUUUGCGCUUUUGGUGUUCUGUGUUGCUUUUUAUUAAGUCCGUCACGAAGGUUGACUUCAGAGUCAUGGAUUGGAGAGUCGUAAUUAAUAGCGACACAAACUAUAUAUAUAUAUAUAUAUAUAUAUAUAUAUACUCUUUCAUUAAUAUUGUUUAUAACAGAUUAUUUGAUCGCAAGAAAUGAUAAACUUUGAACUAAAUAUAGGACUUGGAGUCCUUCGUUCUCAUAUUUCUCAAUCAAUAUGGAACUAAAUAAUUUUAUUAGUGUUUUAUUCCGAAGGGGAGCCAAGGACGAGUUUGCUUGGUCGAAGUGUAAGCAUCGGGUCCUCCUUCGAUCGGUCAAUCAUUAGUAUGAUCCAUAGGCUCACGAGGAAUUAUCCAUUUUGUGCAAUGGGCAUACCCGUAUAAUUUAUCAUUUACGAAGCAUUAAUGCGGUCAUUAGUGUGGCUCAUAGGCUUACGAGAAAUUAUCCGCUUUAGACAAUGAAUGUAUUCGUACGAUUUUAUCCUUUUUCAUAUAAGCUCCGUAAAGCACUUAGUUCCAUAAGGGAGAUUUCAUGAACUUAUAAGUUCUUAGUUCCAUACUCCUCGAUUAAUAUUUGAACUAAAUGAUAUAUAUAUAAUCACUGUCCACGACUUUUCCACGUGGAUUGAUCUUUCGUCUUUGAUGUCAAUUCCAGCCUCUGUGCCAGUCUAGAAAGCAAUAAUACUUCACGUAAAUAAUGGCAGGAGCAGCUUUACAAGUACGGUUACAAUGGAUCUGCAAUCUUAUUUGAAAGCUCUGGAGGUGGGUUUACUCUCUGCGACAUGACACCGAGAUAAUAUAAAGCUUGAUAGGAAUUGAUAUAUAGAGGAGAGAGGCUUAAGGUUUGGCAACUCUGUCGUAUCACUGUCUCCAUUAAUUGGAGUUUGCUCGAGGGAAGAAUGAGGGAGGUCAAAAAGAGGGCUCUGCAACUUGCGGCAGCGGCACGAGAUUGCACGUAAGUGUCGACCAAAAGCUGUGGUCUCAAACGAACAUGAACACCUCACGAGAAUGACAUGAAGGAUUAGGCCAUGGUUGAAGUGUCUGCAAAUCAUAAUCUCAAAGAUAUCGAGAUGACAAAAUCCGAUUACGUUCAGAUGCAAUGUCCUCAAUAAAUCCGAUGAAAGUGCCCUAUAUAUACGUAAGAGUCGUGAAGGAAAGCUGCGUUUGGAUAGAAGUGGGGGCAGACAAUAAUAAAGAGGGGGGGUCGACUUCGUAAGAGGUUGAGCUGUGUCCCCAUGUGAGGGAGCUGAAGCUUUUCUUCCUCCCUACUGCAGAGAGGCGGAGGAGGGAGGAGGCAGCCCCCACUUUGACUUGCUCGAUUUCUAGAUGACGGACAAAGAGCAUGCACCAUUAUUACAAGGAUGCAAGAGAUGAAGGAUAACAGGAGGAAGCAGGCUGGGGAAGAUGAUGUGCUUCUCAAGGGGUACGAAGUGGGGUGAUGACGUCUCUAACAUGUCUUUGGAUUCGUCAUACUGUGAAAGUAAUGAAACUAAACUUUCCAAGCCUAAACUACACAUUUCCCUACAAUUCCCGCAUGCAAGAAACUAAACUUUCAAGUCUAAUCCCUAAAGGCAACGAAUGGAAGAAAGAAAAAAAGAAAAAAAGAGGGGAGAGUAUAUUAUAAUACAUUAAUUGUGAAUUAAAAUGCAAUUAACUAAACGAGGAAACUAUUUGCCAUUACUGCAUGUAAACAGAUAUAAUAAGACAGUAAUUCUCAUGGCAAGUUAUUUUAAUGAUCCACUAGCACACGUGAAAGAUAGAUGUCAUGAAAGCAUCUUAUUGCUGUCGGCAUUGCCAGCUAAAAUGUGGUAAAGAGCAGGUCUCCCAAGUGGUGGAGAAGCUGAACUUACAAUUAGUUGGAAAUGAUAAUUAUCACAAAGCAAAUAAACAAGUUGUGCCGAUUUUUGAGAGUUGCAGAAUCUGAAAUAUGGCUUAUUCAUCCUUGAGGUGCUUCCCUCACUCGGUUCUUAGCAAAGAAACUACAAGAAAAACCCACGGAUUCUCAACACAAAAUUCAGAGGUCAAUACAUGAGCCUCGACUUGAGAGUUAGGAGUGUGUCCUCAGGCAGACGACUUGACUGUAGCAGCAUUGAUGAUGUCCACGAAUUCCGGCUGUAAUAAACAAAUAUAGAAAGGAAAGAAGAUGAGAUCUAUAGCCAACGUAACCAACAAAUUUAGAGUCAACUUGCUAAUUGAAGAAAAUUCCAAAGCACAUUCUCUUCAGUACUCAUGUCAUGUAGCCACCGUCUGCGACAUGCCAGAGAUAAAACAUGCAUCUAGCAAAGGCAAUGGGACAGCAAGCAUCUUCAUAACGUGUGAGGAUCAUGAAGUUGCCAACUAGUAGAUGACUGUUAUUCAUAUUGUGGUUGUCAACCCAACCCCCAAAAAACAAGUCAAUCUUAGUGCAAGUUGAAAUCCAAGCAAUUUUUCCCUCUGAAAAGGGUACCAGACAUGUUUUUGUGGUCAUUCUUCAUGCCAGAAAAGUAAAUUAUCACUCUUGUGGGUUUCAGAUAGUGACUAAUGACAGCCAAGAAUAUGUAAUAUAUUUAAGGACAUGCAAAUCUAGACAGACAUGUAGGAAAUAUAGACACAUACCUUCAAAGAAGCACCUCCUACAAGAAAUCCAUCGACAUCAGGCUGUGCUGCAAGCUCUUUGCAGUUAGCCCCACUUACAGAACCUGCAGGAAUUUCAUUUCUCAUGUUAGCAAAAAUUUCACAAGUAAUAUAUAAGAUGUUACUCCAUACGAGUCUCAUCAAAAAAAGGAAACACAAAUAAAAGAAACACGUAAAGAAUUACUCCCAGUUCACCAUGCUCAGUGCAACUCAAAGUGAUACAAGUACAGUCGUCUGGAACUUAUGGAGACAAGAGGAGAAAGGAAAAUCAAGUUGACAAUGAACAUUUACCUCCAUAUAUGAUCCUGGUUGACGCUGCAACUUCAGCACUCACGUUUGUUUGAAGCCACUUCCUUAAUUCCAAGUGGACCUGAGAAUCAUUGGAACAUGUGGCAGAAAUGGAUCAUAAUGAACUCUGAAAGAAAUGUCUUGGGAAAAAUCAGUAUCACAAGACAUCCUUGUGAAGCUAACAUAGCUCAGCAUGGAAAACAUGUCCACUGGUGUGAGCCUUAUGUUACCAUAGUGCUGUUUUGGCACACCCCUGAACUUGGUGCCCACGGUCUGUACUAACAGGUAUGGGUGGGCAUGACCAACAUAUGAAGUCCUUGGUGUUACCGAGAAAAAGUUUUUUCUAAGCUGCACCAUGCAUGAGCAUUAAAGAUGCCUGAUGUUACAUAUCUAGGAAAAAGAAUAAUUUAACCCUAUGAAAUUCAAUUAUACGUGGUGAUCAUAUGUUGCUAAAUAUAAAAAUGAACAGCAUAUUUUAUUUUACAGGAACUUAGUGACCAAUUAUAUUCGAGAAAUGGUGGCCGGAAACUUUAAGCACGUUUAGAUUGUUAGGUUAGAGACUUAUAGGAAGAUCAAAAACUUGCAAAUAAAUAGGCUAGGUUCAAAACAGAAUCACUUAGCAACAAGCCUGUAUUGUGUUACUAUGGCAUCAAAAAUGCAGAAAAUCUUUAACAAUUUUUUUUUGAUAUAACAUAUAUAGCAUGCCAACCUAUUUUGGCCACUUUGGACAAGACAAAUUUGACUAAUGAUUGUGAAUUUUACAUAAAAUUUGACAAAUAAAUGUGAGUUUUAGAUCUGCUGUUGAAGUAGCAUAUGAGACAUCACUGUGAUCUCCAAGGUAAAGACCUCAUUGUCCCAGUAGUCUUAGUGAAUAUAGAUGCAGAUGAUGGCAUAUUUUGGUAAAUAUUUUCCAAAACCAUACACAAGCAUUAUGAAGUAAUAUCCACAGAACUCGAGAGUUGACAUGGAAACAUGUGCAAAGAACUAAUACCUCCUGGGCCUGAGCUGGGGUAGCAACCUUUCCAGUUCCAAUUGCCCAAACUGGCUCAUAAGCCACAACCACAUUGGUCCAGUCAGAAAUCCGUUCUGUAUGAGAAAAAAUCAAUUAGACAGGGUACCUAAUAGUAAAAAAUAUUUGGUACAGAUGUUUCAUCCUACAAAAUCAGUUAGACCUACUACAUAGAAUGACACCCAAGAAUGACAGAUGACCCUAAAACUUUUUACAGUUAUUAAAGUUUAUAUCAUGAUUCCACAAGUACAAGAAGGUGCAUAGCUCAAUUGAACCAACGGGCAACAGCUUUAAUUUAUGAUAUGCAAAGCCAUAAAUACUUCUCUAGCUAUAUACAACACUAGGAUGUUUGUUGUGUACUUGAAAUCUAUUAUUAUCACAUUUUCUUCUACAUAGGAAGGGUUAAAUUGAACUACCAUUAUUAUUUAAGUCAAUGAACAUUCUAAUUCAUCCAUUGGAGAAGAACAAAAUUGUAACUCAUGAGACAUCCAAGUUAUGUAGCUAAAGCAUUUGCUUGUUGUGUCAAAUUCAAGAUUGUGAACAUCAUACAAAAUCAAAGAUGACAAAGAAGAAUUGAAUUCUUGGAAUUUAUUCCACUAAAAUAUAUUGACUGUGCUCCUAUUUGAUCGAAUGCAAUUUAGUCAGAUAAGGGCACGCUUGGGUAAAACAAUAAGAUUGCAUUAAAUUUGCCCAUAAUUCACAUUGAUACACCCAGGAUCCCAUAGUGCCAAGAGACUGCAUUAAAUUUGCCCAUAAUUCACUCAGAUAAAACUUUCCUUUUUCACACAAAAUAAAGAAAAGUAUACUUUAAAGUAACCAAAGACCUAAAACAACCACAAUAUUAACAAAUACUAGCUCAUGCUCUUCCUGGUUACAUGCAUCAGAUCUGGACACUGAUGACCACUUAAACAUGUGGCAUACCUAAAUGUUAAAUGUAACCAUCUCUUAUAUAGAGUCACAAUGUGAUUGAUACCUAAGCCAUGACCUAGCAAUAAACUUGAAACCAUACUGGAAUAUGACUGAGACACAGUUACUUAAAACUUCCCAUGCCAGCAGAAUUGAUGUAAAAACACAUGAUACAACACUUUCUUUUUACACUGGAUGUGUACACAAAACUCAGCCCACAAGUUAAAGUGACAAUAACACGAGGCAUGCAGAGUACCUGCGAUAGCUUUUGUUUGUGCAGCAACUACAUCCAUCGUGGUUCCUGACUCACGCUGCUCAAGUGUCUCACCAACACAAGCAAUCACCUUCAGGCCUUUAGACAGUGCAUAUGCAACUUUAUCUCCAACAAACUGCCCAAGAAAAUAAAAAAUGUGAAUUAGAAGGUAUUGAAUAUCUAACAAAUUUGAUGACAACUUCAGCAAAUUUCCUUGAUAGGCAUAUUAACGGGGAAGACAGCUAAAAUAUAUGAGAUAAAAUUCUAGUUGCUUGCUGGUAAAAGUGUAUGGUCAUUUUGCAUCACAAGUUGUUAACCAAAAUAUACUAGCAUAUUCUACCAAAUUACAUUGUAUACCAGAAGCUAAUACAACUUCCUUUUGUUCCUAUAAGUAUGCAUUAUAUCGUUGGCAUCCAUAGUUUAAAUAUUAUGGAGAACAAGAUCUUAUAAGUAUAAUAAUUUGAUUAGAAACUAGCAUAAAGCUUAAUCCAGCACUUAACUGAUUUCAUCGAGUGAUAAAAUGUGCAACUAAAUUUUCAUGUCGAUGCUAACUGCUGUCUUUUUUGGAACAUGCAUAACAAGAUCGGGAAAGCAAGAUAUAUGGCACUUUAGCAAGCUACUAGCUAAUUGUUAAUGCAGCACAUCUAGGAUUUGCAUAUAGCCUUUUAGCACAUAGGCAACUUACCUCAUUUGAUUCACUCAACAAAAGCCUUCGUUCAGAGUGUCCCAGAAUGACCCAUGGAAUGUCAAGGUUGACAAGCAUCUCAGCACUGCACAAGGAAAAACAAAUAUAUUCAAAUUAGGAGUGCCCAAUUGUUUUACAACAUUGUUAUAACUUAAAGAUGUGCAAGUAGGCAAUGAAAUGGCCAUUCAAAUAAAAACACCAUCAAAGUUGAAAAACCUAAAAAUAUACUACAGAAUGAACCAAAAAUAGAAACCUUAAAAAUCAAAAGUUCAUAACAUAGUAAGAAUUUGAUGAAAAAAGGCCCAUAAAAUGUGAUCCAAUGAUAAAAAUAUAAAUAAGAGAAAAAGUUGUUCUUAUUUGAACAGAGAGCAUGAACAAGUUCAAAUUCAUCUAGGGACAAAAAUCAUACCUAAUCUCACCAGUGUAAGCACCUCCUUUCUUAACCCAACAAUUUUGUGCUGCGACAUGGAAUUCAGGGCGCAACGAGCUUUUUACGAGCGGAAGAAAAACAAAUGAAGGGCUAACCACCACAUCUGCAGAGAUAAUAAUACAUAUAAUUUAAUGCGUUUACAGUGGUUGCACAUCGACAACUAGCCUAUCUAACAGUUAUAAAUAGAUACAACAUGUAAAUGACAGCAUACACAUUCUAAUUCCACAAGACAGUUUUGCAGAACAUGUGAGGAACUGGAAAAGCAACUCAGCGGAUAACACCAAUGAGUAUCAAGAACUAAAGGUUUCAAAGGCGAAGAUAUAAUUCUAUCUCUCAGUCAAAUAAAAUUGACGAUCGCUAAAUCAUCAUGAAUUUCUUGAGAAUCUAGUCUCGUUAAAACUGAAAUUUGUGAAUCAGAUGCCAGAGGGGAUGGAAUAGAAAUUAAUGUUCAGAAACCAUCUGAAUAACGCACUGACUAAGUUUCACACCAAACCAAACAAAAUUGUUGGUUACCAACCACUCAUCUAACAUCUCACUAAUCAAGCAGCAAUGACCUGGAAUCUUACCUAAGGAUCUUAGCAGUUAAUACCGACGAUAUAAAAGACAAAAAUAUAUGAGGAAACAUUGAAAGAAAAAAGAAAGCUCAAGUAGAUCUGACAAGCAAAUGCAUAGGAUUUCAUUUGUGACAAAUAGAACAAACAGUAUGUGAAUAUUUCCAAAACAUAUCCCUAAAUAUUCGAUCAAGAUCAUAGGGUUCACAACCAUACCGACAACAUCAGCCGAUGCAACUUUGCCAUCGUUCAGGAUGCUGACAAUUUUCUUGACCUCCUCGCUGGUCCCAUUCUGCGAAUACGGCCCAAAUAAAAACACAUUUAGCAUCAGAGUUCCAUGAUCUUAUAUUUUUUCCCAUAUUUAGUAGGCAAUCAAAAUCAAAGAGGACUAGAGAACAUGGAGUGGAGACAUAAAAAAGGAAACAGAGGUGUCCGAAUCCAGUAUAUCAAGAAGAUCGACUCUAAUUAGUUAAAAUUAGUGGAAACGAAUAAGAUUAAUAUGAAUCAGAGAAGAACGAGAGGAAACAGCAACAAAUCAUGCCGAUCGAUGGGAUCGGAUAACUUAAAGCUGACGAUCGAUGAAAGACGAGUAAAUCGGAGAGAUUUCCAGCAACAAGGACUGGCCAAGACCGCAAAUUUCACCAGCCAGGCUAUUAAGAUCUGCAAAAGUGGCAGUAGGGCAAAGUACCAAGCGCGAUCUAGAAAAAGGAAGAAAAGGGUAAAUGCGAGGAUUACGCAUUUCCAGUUGCCGCCGACGAAGAACUUCCUGGCCAUGUCUGAGGAGGUAGGCGACGAUGCUCAAAUCCAAAAGCCCUUUCCCUUGGCUUGGUCGAAUUAGAGGAUGCGGAGGUCUGGGCACUCAUAUAUACGGCGACUGAGACGAGAGGCGAUGGAAACAAGGGGAUGCAUUGGCACGAAUCUCGAACGUGCCAUUGGCUCCGAUGGGUGUCCGCGAUCGAUCCCGCCCGUCGAAUCAUAAGGAUCAACGAUCUGCUGUUUCCCCUUGACACAGCGAAUAGAUUUAUCAUGGAAUAGAUAUCUAGACACGUAGAUAAAGCUUCCGGGACAGGACCCACAUACGUGCCGUCGUGCACAGCUGCCGGCGAGCUGACGGUGCGAGUCCUGCGUGGUGAUUGGGUUCUCGGGACAUCGAUUACACGCCGUCGAGGGCAAUAUAAUAAGAUCCAGGCACUUGUAAUACAGGAGGAGCCCAUCGGAUCGUACAUCUGUGGGUUGGAUGAACACAGCUCUCCACGAUCAUUCUAUUAUUAUUAUUAUUAUAGCAAUAUUAUAAUUAUUAUUUAAGAUCAAGAUACAGUUAACAUUUUUAGCAACUAAGCUAGUAAACAUCUUUAAUUUCUUUUAAAAAAUAUAUUAGAUGAUACUUUGACCUUUAAUAUUUGGUAAGAAAGUAUAAUAUAUCAUCACUAUAUUAAUAUUUAAUAUAUUUAUUGUAAUAAUAUUAAUUAUUAUAAAUUUAUGUAUCGGAUAAAAUAUUAUUAUAAGAUAUAUCGAGCAUGAUAUAUCUAUAUAGCUACAAGAUACAUCGAUCCAAAAUAUAAGCAUUAAUGUAUAGGAUGAACCAUAAUUGGGCAAAGGAUUUCUUAUGACCGAUGCAACCACUUAGAGCUCGACGAAGACAAUCAAAAUGUUUUUUUACUCUUUAAGAAAAUUAGAUUGAGAAGAAAACAAACAGGAAAAAGAAUUUUUUGUAUUGGGAAAAGACAGCUACUUCACAUAACAUAAAGCACCGAAUACAACACUGCUACCGUAUCCGGAAAUCAUACAUACUUAAAGGUAAGUAUGAUCGACAUCAUCUCUAAGUCUUACGGAAGGAUACUCCCUAUUUAAGAGCAACAACGCUUCAGCAACUCACGUCUGAUAUCUGCAGUUCCCGUAACCUGCCACAGUCAAAGAAUGAUCAGCGCUGCAGGAAUCAGGAAGAACAGAGAGGGAAAGCGUGAGAUCAGAUAAAACGCAUGCGUCCACUUACUUGGGUCGGUCGAGGUGAGGACGCCGCUGCCGCCAAAGUAGCAGUUGAAGUCAUGGCGGCCGGCGGCCUGGUAGUAGGCGUUCAUGGCAUAAGAGGCGUGGGCCAAGAGCGUGUUGGGGUCGAAGCACGCGCCGCCGUUCUGUAUGGCCCCGCAAUCCGCCCCGCCGCUGCCGCACGCGUAGUCGAUGUUGUUCUGCAGCUCCGCUAGGCUCGCGUCCGCCGUUGCCACGCACCACCUCCAGGAAUCACCCGAGGGCGCCGGCGCCUGCAGAAUACCACCGUCACUCGAGUAUCGAACGGAAGCAAAACUCAUUUCUAGCAUGGCUGCCCCAACCAUGUUAUCUAGCAUGACCGUCCGACCCUUUGGUAUAGUAACUUUUUUAGAAUGACGUAUUUACCCUCAAUAUAAUACGUAUACUCCCCCAAAAAACAGUGUUUAGUGUCGAUUGGUUUGAAUCAAAUAUUUAAGAUAUCAUUAAUAACAUUAUCACCGUAAAAUUGAACGGAUGUUUAUGAUAAAUUUAAAUUUAGAAGGAUAAAUACGAAUACGUGUAUAAGUAUAAUAUACGCAAUUUUGAAGUAAAAGUAAAGAGGAGGACAGGACUCACAUUGUCGCUGUCGCGCAUAAGGCCGACGUCGUAGGACGGGGAGAGGUCGGCGUUGAAGAGCCCAAAGUGCCGCUCCGCAGUCGGCCCGGGCUUCAGGUUCUCGUUGAACAGCGCGAACACGUACGUCUCGAACCGCCGGCCCGGCAUCAUCGGCGUUCCCUUCCCAGAGUUCACCAGACGUAUCAGGUUGGCGUUGUAGGAGACCGCGUCCUCCACGCUCACACCGAGCUGGCCCGGGUCCCCGGCCGACGGCCACCCCGUCUCCCCCACGGCGAUCUCUACGUCUCCGUACCCCAGUCGCUGCAUCGCCGCUUGCACCGCGUCCAGCUGCGCCACGAACAUGUUGGUGUAGUUCACCCCCGUGGCCGGGUCGAACACCCCCGGGUUGGGGCGGAAGAGGGCGUAGUCGAGAGUGCGCGCUGUGUAGCCGAAGUAGGGGUAGGGGUUCACCACGAACGGGGUGCGCGUCCGGCGGUGGAAGUCAAGCAUCGGGGCGAAGAUGACGCGGUCGUAGCCGGGGCGGAAGCGGCCGGUGGAGGGCGGCUCGGAUGCAGAGAGGAUACCGAGGGAGUGGGGGGUGGAGACCCUGAUCUGGGGGAAGCCGGAUGCGGCAAGUGCCGCGGAGAGGGAGCGCAUAGCGGGGACGAGAUGGGCGAUGAGGUUGCGGUCGGAGGUGGCGAGAACCUCGUUUCCGACGGCGAUGAGGGAGAUGUUGGUCGCAGGGUAGAAGGGGGCGACGUUUAUGGCAACCCAGGCGGAGGCAGCAGGGGAUGGGGCAGAGGAGCGACGGGAGGCGAGGGAGGGGAUGUCCCCGUUGGGGACCGUGAUCAUGAGGGAGAUUCCGGUGCCAGCGAAGGCACGAAUGAUGUCCGGGUUGGCGUCGAAGAGCUUCACACGGUCGACGAAGGUGCGGUCCUUGAGGAAGGCGGCGACUUGAGCCGGCGGCGGGAGAUUGUCCGCGAAGGCACCGUAGUUGACGCCGACGGAGAGGGCCGCGGACAAGGAGAGAAGGUGGAGUAGGAGUAAGGGGAAAACGACGAGCUUCGCUGCUUUCGCUAGAGAAGCCAUUGCCGAGGGAUUUGGGGCUUUUGGUGGUGAAGCGAGACGGCGAAGGGGGGUGGAUUUAACGAGGGAAAAAGGUGUGCGAUGUUCCACUGACGCCUGUGGGCGCUGUCACGUGGCGACGACUUCGAAACGGGGAAUACGAACGUUAUGUUUCAAGGAGGCUGCCGCGAUCCACAUUCAAAUACGUGGACGGCUGAUUGGGGCGGUCCAAACAAUAGCUUUAUGGACUAUGAUUUAGUGUACAUAAAAGCGGGCGUUAUAAAGAUUACCAAUUCAUUUCCAACGCAAAUAAUCCACGAUGAUUGCAGAUAUUAAAUAUAUAAUCACGCAUUUGUAUAUACAUAUUUGGUAAUAAUUAGGGGUUUCUUUAAUUGGAUUAAUUAAGGUAUUAAUAGCUUAAGAAACAGGAGCAAGAGAAAGAGCUUGAUGGGCCAUAAGGAGCAUUUGGACCUAACUUUGAUGGGCUGUAGAACGGCUCGAUAGAAGCCUGUCAAAAUGUGAAGCUGACGAGAACCGUUAAACCCUAACCGGCCGACUACUCCCUCUCUCUUCCUUCUCAGCGCUCCGUGCUUGCUGGUGACGAAGGUAUGACCGCUACAGCUCGCUAAGGAUGCUGGCCCGAUUCGUUUCCCAUCGCGGCCCCUUCCGCUUCGUAGCCCUAACCACCGUAGCUUCCUCCCAUGUCCGCCGCGCCCCGUCCUCUCCCCCUCCUCUCCGGCCUCCGCCCACCUUUCUUGGUACUCUUACUCGUCUCGCUCUCCCUCCCUCCGAUCCCAAUUCCACUUUCUUUCCGUCUCUGAGGUCAUUCUCGAGCAAUCGAGGUGACGAUGACGAUGGCGACUGGAAGUUUACGCCGCAGUCCGACGAGGUCGGCUCCGUAUUCGGGGAGGAGGAGGGCGACCUUGCCGGGAUCGCUGAUGCCGCAGAGGGCGGGUCGGAGGUGGCCGCCGCCGGGGCCGACGUUAAGAGCGGGGAUCUGUGGGAAAAGGGUAUUGUGACGGAGGGUGAAGGGGAUAUUUUUUACGGCAUCGAUCGGGGGUUUGUGGCCAAGGAGGGCGGGGUAAGAGAAGGGAAUGAGGAAUGGGAGACGGCGGAGGGGUACAAGCCGUGGACGCUUGGUGACGAUGAUGAGAAAGGGGACUUGUUCGGUGUCGUCGAAGAAGGGGAGGCAGGGAUUGAGGGGAUCGAUGGCGGUGGUGUCGAGGAUUUGGAUAAGGCAAGGGCUGAUGAGCAGAAGCAGCUGGAGAAGAAAGAGGAAGAACUUUUAGCUGCUUUGAAAGGUAAGAAUCACAGAACACAUCUCAAGAAAGGAUCUUCUUGUUUAAUGUUACCCGAUUGAUGUUAAUCUCAACAGUCAAUGCUUAUGUAUGUACCCAUUUUCUGCAAGCUGAUUUGUAAUUAUCAUUGAUCUGGAAUUUUCUAUGUUGCAAUAUUUAUUGAAAAGGUUUUAGCUUGUCUCUUCAAUAAUUUGAAGCUUAUCCUAGUUGUUUGUUGUCUUGUACUGUCACCUGUGCUGAUAUAUGUUUGGGAAAGAAACUGCUUCUUUCUUUAGGUUUCUCACAAAUGACUGGUCAUGUUUAUUGUUGGUUUGAUGAUGAACUUUCUUGCUGUAUCGUCUCCCAUUCCAAUUGUUUUGGUUCUCAAAAUGUCUUGUUCCUGUAGCAAGUGGCAUGAAUGACAUAUGGCAAGUAGCAGUCUCUAUUCAACAACAACUAAUGUCAAGUUGUCUUGCUCCUACAACAUAUAAAUAUGAAAAAAGCAUGAAUAAUCUGAGACACAGGCUUUGCCAUCUUUCUAAUGUGUACACGAGAGAGAGAGAGAGAGGACUCAAAAUAUAUUUUGUGUUAAACAUCUUUGUUCUAUGGUUACAUGUAAAUCCAUUGAAGUAAGAUUAUUGAUUUAAACCUAAUACCUGUGUGAAGGAAUUGUAUGUUUAUCUCAUCACAUAAUGUUGCUUCUUAGUUUCUAUUGUUGUUGUCUUUUCACUAUUUCUUCUUGUGGAGUGAUAUAUUUCUAUUUCAUCAUGGAAUGCUGUUUCUUACCUUCUUUUGGUGUUAUUGGUGUUCUUUCUUCUUGUGAAGUAAAUAUGAUAAGAUUAUGAGAAUUAAAAUGAGAAAUAAUAUAUGUUUAUUUCAUCAUAGAACAUUGCUUCUUAGUAUCUUUUGUUGUUUUCUUUGCUCUUUCUUCUUGUGAAAUAAUGUGGCAAUGUUGUGAGAAUUAAAAUGACAUCCGAGGAAAACAUAAUCUAUCUUGUUUUUAGCUCGUUUUAGCCCUUUUUUCUUUAGAGUGGUGGAUGUUCUUGAUACUAGUUUUCUCUGAGAGAUUUUACUCUUCUGUUUUGGUGAUCGUGCUUCUUUGUCAUCUUUGUUCUUUUGGUUAUCUAGCAGAACUUUUUUGGUAGUCCAAUUUCAUAUCUUGUUAUUUUACUUCUUUCUUUUAAUUUAAAUAUCCUGAAGAUAGUACAGGAUAACUGUUAGAUAGUUGAAGAUGUUUGGGUUCUGUUGUAUUGUAUGUUGGUACUUUCAGAGUAGGACCAAUGAAUAGAUAAGAAGCUCCAUUCAUGUUAAAGAGACUCUGAUUGCUUGCAUCUUGUGUUUCUCCUUAGUACACAGCAAUGCAAACUGCUUAGGGCUCAAUGUUUAAAAUGGCAGGUCCAAAUCGGGCAUUUGGAGAUCUCAUUGCAGCAUCAGGAAUCACGGAUGAUAUGAUUGACAGUUUGAUUCUCUUGAAGGAUGUAAGCGGUGUCAAGGGUUUGCCUCCCCUGACAGAAAUUGAAGACAAAGCUAUUGCAAGAUUGAAUGAGACAUCAACAAGAGUUGAAAUUGAGCGGAAGAAACAGGAGGAAGUAGCAAAAGCUCGGGUUAGAGUGGUGGAUGAGAAGGGGAGAGCUUAUGGAACAGGAAGACGAAAAUGUAGCAUAGCUCGUGUAUGGAUUCAACCUGGUGACGGCAAGUUCAUCGUCAAUGAAAAGCAGUUCGAUGCUUACUUCUCAAUUCUUGAUCAUCGAGUACAACUUCUUCAGCCUUUCAUUGUGACAAAAACUCUUGGUCUCUGGGAUGUAAAUUGCACCGUCCAAGGGGGUGGAGUUUCUGGUAAGCUUUAUGACUACAAAAUUAUCUUUGUUUUGAGAAUUAUUGUAGAUGAACGAUCCAAUUUUAAGUAGAAAAUAACAGUGAUUUAAAAAGGUGCUUGAGCGCUCGCCUAGGUCUCGGGCAAGACGAGACGAGGCUCAAGCCCCUCGUUUAAGGGCCAGGUUGCGCGCUUCAAAGAGGCGUCGCCUGGGCGCUCGCUCCAGACUAGGCACCGGGUGCUUCGGGCAAUCGCCCGGUUUAAUUAAGCAAACCGAACCAGACUUUUAAGUCUGGUUUGGUUAAAUAAUAUAGUUUCUUACCUCAAGCCACCCUUCACUCUCGCACGACCCCGAGGAACCCUAGUGUUGCUUCUGCCUUUGUCAUCGACACUUUUUGUCGUUGCCUCCGCCACUAAUGCAAAGGACCAAACCUUCCUUUGUCGUCGACUGGCGAGUCCGACGCCCCCCGUAGCUUCCUUCCGCUGUUGCUCUGUGUGCAGUUCCUUCCACUGUCGAGGGAGUGGAUCGCAAAUUCCUUCGCCACUGACGGACACCCUCUGAAGCUUUUGUCGUUGUUGCUGUUGCUGUCCGCAGCUUUCGUUGCCGAUGUCCGUAACUUCCUCCAUUGGCGCUGUUGCUAUUCGCAACUUUCGCCGCUAUCACUGCUGUUGUCCGCAACUUCUACCGUUGUCGCUGUUGCAACAAUUUUAAACUGAUCCUCUGUUAUUGUUAACAUUUUUUUCUCCCCUCUAACUAUUGUUAAUAGUAAAUAAUAUACUGUUAACAGUAUAUUUUUAAUUUAAUAUCAUAUUUUAUUUAAAUAUUUUUUAUUAUUUUAUAUAUUUUAAUAUUUUAAUAUUUUAGAGCAUUUCGUUUUGCUCGGUGAGCGCCAAGUGCCUUAGCCAUUUUGGGACCUUGGUGCCUAGCGUUUUUUAAAUCACUGACAAGUACAUGUGUCGUAAGACAUACACAAGCAUUGUUAUAAAUUCUGUUUUUCUUAGUUGACGAACUGAAAGACAAAAAUUACCUUUGUAGAUUUAGAGAGGCUAUCUUUUCUUGUUUUUAGCUAUGGGACUGAUGCAACGAACCUCUUCGCUAUUGCAGGUCAAGUUGGUGCCAUUCGCUUGGGAAUCAGCAGAGCCUUGCAAAACUGGGAACCAGGGCUCCGGCCUUUCCUAAAAGCUGGUAAAUACUCUUACCAAAUUAGUUAUUAAGAUAUACUGUGAUAAAAUUUAACAAUCCAUUUUAAAUCCUAGCAUUGCAGUGUAACCUCAUCCUCAUUGUGCUUCUCAUGAACCCCCUCUUGGAUUUAGUAACCGACCUACCUUCAUCGCCCGUGUUUAGAUUCGAGUAGUGUGGCAUAUAGUGUGGUACUUAUUAUCCAACUGUUGACAUGGCUUGUGUGCUUCAUCUAGCUGGCUAUUUGACGCGAGACCCACGUGUAGUCGAACGGAAGAAGCCUGGAAAGGCCAAAGCCAGGAAGAGCUUUCAAUGGGUCAAGCGAUAACAGGUGUGGUUGUCAUUCCCUUUCUCACUGGAGAUACACUACCCUGUCACCAUUUAGGGGCUUACGAUGUUGAUCUGGAGAUGUAUCAUUUAUAAUGUGCAGGUUCUUGCGCAUCUUCUGCUCUCAGCUAUUUGGUAUUGCUGGCCCCUCAGUGAUGUUAUACCUCUGCUUGUUUUGUAGCCUGUAGCUCAAGAGAUCUUACUUACUACUUGCUCAUCCACUUGUGAUCAUAUAAUUAAUUUAUUUGAGCAACUGUAGGCAUCCAUCUAUCAAUCUUUUGCUUGUCAGCUUUUAUGUGGACCUUCUGUGUUUCAGAAUAAAGCGAACCAUCAAUUUUUCAAAGAGACACCAUUACUGUUCCAGAAUUGAAUUGAGGAAGGUAGUGAUGAUGUCUUGUUGUUUUUAAAGGUAACGGUGUAAAUCCUUUUAUCAAUAAUGUUUCUUUAGAAAAUUAUAAGACCUGAAAGUGAAUCAGAUUAUCAAUUUAUAUUUUACAUUGGAAAUUGUGCAAAAUGAUAUGUUGAACCUCAUUUCCCUUCUCUCCAUCUCUUCCGGUUUCUCCCAUUUGACAAACUUAUUGGGAAUAUUGAUCUGAAUUUAUUUUUAUAUCUGAGGAGUUAAUGACCUGACAAAGAUACACUUUUUGAUUUAUUUGUCGAGGAUUAAAGAUUCAAUGAUCUUUUUUGAUUUAUUUGGCAAGAAUUUAAUAAAUAAACAUUCAAAUUUUAUCAACAUUUUUUUAUACCAAAAAUAUUGAUCUUCUUGUUUAUCUGCAUAAUCAAUCCACUUCUCUAAAAUCACAAGCUCAGAACAGGAAAGCGAUAUGCAUCACAGGAAGAAAACUUGCUUCUUUUUCAAGUACUAAACGACACACAACACUCGAAACUAACAGCAGACGCACACAAACCACAGACAACAAGAUAGAAGCAAGAGAGAGAGAGAGAGAGAGAGGGAGAGGUCUGUUCUCUCUCUCAGCCAUGGUGACGAGAACAACAUCCUCCGAGGGAAGAGGGUUGAGACAGUAAGCCAUGGCCUUUUAUUUCCAUCACCAAGUCCAAACACAAGUCACUAACCCCACAACACCACCACCGAUGCUGCUCCUCUCCCUCUUCAAACUCUGAUCAUCUCCCUCAUUUGCAGUUGCAGGGAUCGCAGGUGCAGUUGGAUCCGCACUUGCAGCCAUUCUCGGACCCUUCAGCUGCCAU
RNAcentral lists this long non-coding RNA (22515 nucleotides) under Musa acuminata (dwarf banana). RNAcentral's name for it is "long non-coding RNA (MACU_LNC006811)". Lineage: Eukaryota; Viridiplantae; Streptophyta; Magnoliopsida; Zingiberales; Musaceae. The record is from RNAcentral.